ACGUCAGCCAACUUCAGGAUCAUAUAUUUUAGACAUUUAACUUUACCAUAACUAAAUGCAGAUCAAUGAGCGAAUUAAACAUACACUUGUACGCACAUAUAUAUUUAUAUAUAUACAUAUAAAUAUAUAUAAUUUUAAGCCUACUCACGUCAUGAGAACAAAUAAUACUUGCAUACAACCGAGUGAAAGUUAGUCCAUGGAUUUGAAAAUAAAACGCCAAUGGAAUGAGAACGAGAGUCAGGCGGGUAAUUUUUUUUUUUUUUUAUUUAUUUCAAUCUUUUAUUUCGCCUACCGAACCUGUUUAUCAACGAAAAUGUGAAGAUAUAAAUAAAAUUAAUUUAUGAUAAAAUGAAAGUCGCAAGGUCUGUAGAUAAUUUAUAUACACGUACAUAUAAAGAUUUUUUAUCCCGUUUUAUUUUUCAUUAAUAUGAUAUAUAUAAAAUUUAAUUUUUCAGAUAUAAUGUAGCGUGAUUCAUAUUUUAGCAAGAGUAUGAAAAAAAAAUAAUAAUAAUAAAGUAAAGUAUAACAAAGACCAUGAACUUGAAAUAUAAAGUUGAUCAUAGCACACACGCAAAUACCACAUCAGCUCCGGAAACCAGUAUAUGACUACAUGGGAGACUGAAAUGAUACGGUGUACAUAUACAAUAUAUAUGUAUAUAUUUAUUUAUAAGUAAGUAUGUAUGUGUUGCUCACAUAUGGUCGGAGAUGGAAUGAAAGAGUACAUAUGCACUAGUACUAUACGAUGAGUCGUGAUUUAAGUACUCGUGCACUUAUACCCAGGCACGCAGCCAAUUAUAAUUAUUGUGCUGUAACAACUACCUGUGUCAUACAUAUAAAUACAUCUAUUGUUUAAUAAUUAUUGUCACACGCAUUUAGAUUUUUUUUAUUUCAUAACUAUUUUUUUAUUUUACCACAAACCUGGGAAAUUCAAAAUUAGAUACCGGAGUUCAAGCGGUGACUAAUUCCGAUGACGAAACCGAGCCGUUGUAAAAAUUUAUACGGAAGUUCUGAACUUUUGAAUGAUUCAAUGAAUAAAUAAAUAUCGGAAAUCAAGACUUGAGAUUAUGCUGCAUAAUAAUAACAAAAUGGUGAACUUGAAUUUCAUUAAUGUACAGUACUGGUACAUUGCAUUUCCUUAUGCCUGGUGAAUCGACGAGAGUACGAUCUAAAAAUACAGUCUGGCCGUUAUACAAUCUAUUGAAGCACCAGGGGGUCGAGUUCCCGCCGAUCUGGGACAGAUGGAGAGGGCAAGUAAACCCGCGUGGUUAUUCGAUAUUCAUAUUCACUCUCACAUAUGAUAUGACAAUCAGACUAGUCGCAUAUGACAGUUUAAUAUAACGGUAUUGAGUCCCAUACUAUUAAUAACAUUCAAUACUCUGUAUGAAAUAAAAGUCAUUAUUAUUUAUAAACAUAAGUACUGACUUACUGCAUACCAUUGGAUAUAAAUAGUAUAAUUAUAUUAAUAGUAAGGCGGGUAUAUUUAAUAAAAUGUUUUUUUUUUUCAUCACAAACCUGUAUCGUGGGUCCAGGAAUCUCUGACAGUUCCAAGCGAGCUGGGCUGCGACCAGCAUCAAGGUUGAUGAUACAAUCCCCAUAUUACCCUUUUAUUAAUUUAACUUUUUUUACAUCCGCAGUCUCAAGUUUAAAUCCGACGAAUUCUUGACUGAAGAUCUUGUUUUUUUUUUACUUUUAUUUUUCAAUACACAAGAGAUUGUAAUUCAAGAUUAACGUAUCCGCUUUCACUUUUCUCACGUUUUUUUCUCUUUGAAGAUGCUAAGGAGUAAGUAAACCAGUAAUUGAAUUUAAAUUUUAUUAUCAUCACUUACAU
This is a long non-coding RNA of Microplitis mediator, 1828 nucleotides long. RefSeq lists it as uncharacterized. Lineage: Eukaryota; Metazoa; Arthropoda; Insecta; Hymenoptera; Braconidae. The record is from RefSeq and is a predicted model, not a curated record. The transcript is spliced from 2 exons.